UUCUGCAGAAUAAGGACCAGAACUUUACAGAGUAAACUGUGUCAGUUCUUUUACUAUUACAGCAGUUCAUCGUGGCCCUGUCAUUCGCCUCCUUCAGCAAAGCUCUGUCAGGGACCUACAUGAAGAGUGCAUCACUCAGAGAGACACUUUAACCUGUCCAGCUCUCUCAUCGGACUCAUGGACGGCAGCUUUGAGAUGGGUUUCAACAAUAACAUUGAGUUGCUUGAGAAUUCAUGUAACCUGCUGUUCCUGGCUGUGGUCAGCCAUUUUGGGGCGAAGCUGCACCGGCCCAGGUUCAUUGCUAUGGGCUGUUUCCUCAUGGCUAUAGGAUCCUUCCUCACAGACCUGCCACACUUCUUCAUGGGACGGUAAAACAACUGAAAUACUAGUUAAACUUGUGGAGAUACUCCAAUGCGGAGGAUAGUUUCACUUUAGAAAUAAAGAAAUGUAUCCAGUUGUUGAUUAAUCUCAGUUAACUUAGAACUAAAGUCUUGCGUAAUUGGUCAGCUGCUUGAUUAUGUUUUGGGGCCAUACGUGUUAAGAGAAGGGAUUAAGAGAUGCUGUAACUGUGACGUGGUAAGGUUGGACUCAGGUGCAGACAAGAGACCAGAAGAUGAAGCAGUGGUUCCAACCAGUGUCUCCAUCCCUCAAGGGCCCACUUAACUGCCAAAAGCUCCCAGUUGCCUACAUCGUAGUUGCCUUCCGCUGGCGAGACCCUCUUGGAGAGAAAGGUGCAUGGGUGCAGUUUCUUGUCCUCCUCGUUCCGCUGUGAAAGUACCGCACCAGCUCCGGUGUCCGAGGCGUCCACCUCUACCACAAAGGGACGAGUAGGAUCAGGAUGAAGGAGGAUGGGUCCGGAGGUGAAACGUCCCUUGAGCUCUAUGAAUGCCCUGUCAGUCUCGGGAUUCCUGCACAAACCUGCUUGAGUGAGGUGGGACAGGGCUGUAUGUGUUCCGGAGGUGUUUUUGGAGAAGAUCAGGAUGUCGUCGAGGUGAACAAAGACGAACCGGUUCAACAUAUCCCAAAGAGUGUCAUUGAUCAAUGCCUGAAAGACUGCCGGUGAGUUCGAUAUUCCAAAGGUCAUGACUAAAUACUCAGUGACCACUAGGGGUGUUAAAGGACAUUUUCCUCUCAUCUCCUGAUUCCUGCACAAACCUGCUUGAGUGAGGUGGGACAGGGCUGUAUGUGUUCCGGAGGUGUUUUUGGAGAAGAUCAGGAUGUCGUCGAGGUGAACAAAGACGAACCGGUUCAACAUAUCCCAAAGAGUGUCAUUGAUCAAUGCCUGAAAGACUGCCGGUGAGUUCGAUAUUCCAAAGGUCAUGACUAAAUACUCAGUGACCACUAGGGGUGUUAAAGGACAUUUUCCUCUCAUCUCCCUGAUUCUCUCCAGAAUUUAAGUGUUGCAGAGGUCCAGUUUGGUGAAGAAUUGGGCUCCUAGGGCCAACUCAAAGGCGGCAGACAUCGGGUAGGGGGUAAUGAUUCUUGAUCGUAAUCCUUUUCAGCCCUCUGUAAUCGAUGCAAGGACUGAAGUUUGGGUCAGAGACAGAGAGAUGAGGGAUGCGAUUAGACAUGCAGCCCAAUUAUGAUAUUUUUUCCCCUAAUUGGUCUUUUGACCAAUCACAUUAGAUAUUUUCAUAUCAGCUCUUUUUCAGAGCAUAUCUGAUUGGUCAAAAUACCAAUUACAAAAAUAAAAUGACUGAAUUGGGCUGCCUGUCUCAACGAAUCCAUAGAAACUGUUCCAACUGAAAUGUUCCAUCCUGUCAGUACUGAUGUUGAUUGGAAUUAAAUACACUUGUUUCGUUCUCUCCCAUCCCCUGUAGGUUUGUUGAACAUGAGUCGAAAUUAAACUCCAGCACACUGGUAGCACUAAAGACGUGUGAGUAUAACUUUUCCAGGUGAGUUGAACCUGACUGUGGGUGCAGUGGGGAUAUUCCUGGGAGGUCUACUGAUGAAGAGGUAUAAGCUUGGCGUUGUGUCUGGAGCCCAGAUGUCUUUCGUCAUCUCCUUCAUGGCCUACCUCCUCCUCCCUCUGCAGUCUGGCACUAAGUGUGACAACGUUCAGGUGGCUGGUCUGUCCGUGUCCUACAACGAGUAAAUAUGACAUCUGAUUGGUUGGUUGGUGGGUUGAUAAAAACAAACGUUUUGAUCAGUGGAAUAUGAGGGAGAGCUAGACCAAAACACACAUGGGCUUGUGCCGGGGCUCCCUCUUGUGGGAAUAUUCAGUAUGGUUGUUACAGAGCCAGGAUUCCUGGCUGUUUUGUCACUGUGCCUGUGUCAAUGAUAGUUCAGCAACAAUUAUUUAAACAUCAUUAUUACCAGCCAUUUUCUCUGUCCCCCAGGUCCCCUGGUGUACGAUGGCAGCCUGUUGUCAGAGUGUAACAGAGACUGCUUCUGCUUGGCUGGGGAGUGGGACUCUGUGUGUUCAGACAAUGGCAUCACCUACACCUCCCCCUGCCUCGCAGGCUGCUCCAGCUUUACAGGUUACGGCAAGAACACAGUACCAAUACUAUUAAUGUACUGAGUGUACAAAACAUUCACAGGGAUGCCGGCCCAUGUUGACUCCAAUGCUUCCCACAGUUGUGUCAAGUUGGCUGUAUGUCUUUUGAGUGGUGGACCAUUCUUGAUACACACGGGAAACUGUUGAGUGUAAACAACCCAGCAGCGUUGCAGUUCUUGACACAAACUGGUACCCCUGGCACCUACUACCAUGCCCUGUUGAAAGGCACGGAAAUAUUUUGUCUUGCCUAUUCACCCUCUGAAUGGCACACACACACAAUCCAUGUCUCAAUUGUCUCAAGCUUUACAAUAUAUUUUUUUAACCUUUCUCCUCCUCUUUAUCUACACUGAUUUAAGUGGAUUUAACUAGUGACAUCCAUAAGGGAUUAUAUCUUUAACCUGGAUUCACCUGGUCAGCAUAUGUCAUGGAAAGAGCAGGUGUUCUUAAUGUUUUAUACACUCAGUGUAACUCAUGGCACUGACAUGUACCACUGCAUAUACAUUCAGAGAGUUUGGUAUUUUUCCUGGAGGGCCACAAUGUGUAGUAAUCUUUGGCCAAACCAGGCACACUAGAGUCUAUGGAGCGAUAUGAUGUUGAAUCUGAAAUUAUGUCUUGGUUAAUGUCUAUAUGUCUUGGUUAAUGCCUGGUUGGAAAAAAUGAAAAAGACUGUAGCUCCUAAAGACAUGAUGGGCCACCACUUGGGUAGAAGCACUAUAUGGUCCUGUAGCCUACUUUGUCACAUGUAAACAAGUUUAGGAUGCCAAAUGUUACCAAACAUCCUACGCUUCCAUUUAGUCCCAGUUAAACUUAUCUUGACCUUUAUCAACCCUACUGGAUAUGCCCUUUAGCUUUCAUUUCAAUUUUAUUUUAUUGUACUUUGUUUGGGACGGCACAAGACACUUAAAAAAUAAAAUGGUGUAUAUUUUU
Oncorhynchus kisutch (coho salmon) is the source of this 3424-nucleotide long non-coding RNA. RefSeq lists it as uncharacterized. Lineage: Eukaryota; Metazoa; Chordata; Actinopteri; Salmoniformes; Salmonidae. The transcript is spliced from 3 exons. The record is from RefSeq and is a predicted model, not a curated record.